Molecule: long non-coding RNA, 802 nt
Organism: Anas platyrhynchos (mallard)
Lineage: Eukaryota; Metazoa; Chordata; Aves; Anseriformes; Anatidae
Source: RefSeq, a predicted model, not a curated record
CUGCAACUUCACACUGCUCUGAGUAAGGGAGGUCACUGCACCACUGCGCGGGGAGCAAAGAAGGAACCAGGACCUCCUGCCUGCUCCUGCCUGGUCCCCCCCUCCUGCUUUCACUCUGCCCGAGGCACCACGUGGGGCCAGCCAGCAGGUCCCAGGGACGAGCUUGCCCUGCUCCACAUCAGCGAGACCCAGCAGCAGUCACAGACAGCAGGCCAGCACUGAAGGCAGCACAGACAGGUGCCUGGGCAGUAUUCCUUAGGGGGAUGAGGCCUCGCCAGCCGAAUGUCAGUCUCAUGAUUAAAAGAAGCAAUUUUCAGCCAGCACACAGGCGCGCCUUCCACCUGAGAAAGACCCAAGGACAGAAGGAAAGAAACAGAAGUAUCAGAAACAUCACUUCUGGAACCAGGAACAGACGCUGUCUAGAAGCUCUGAUACCUGUCCCACUGCUUGUGAUUCUGCAGCACUCCCCCAGGAACUCAAACACAGAGUAAUGACUGGCGGUCUCUAGAGAAAAGCUUCACUCGAACAAAAUGCAUUGGCUUAAGAGGAAUAAAGGAUGAAGCUCUACAGCCUGUGCUGCCACACAGGAGCUCAGAUAAGAUGAUACGAUGACAUACAGCGGUCAUAAAAUCUGAGGUCUUAUCAGUCCAACUCGGUUAGGUCUCCGAAUAAGCCUAGCACCACUGGUAAGUCCAACUUGCACAGCUUUCCUUGUUCAGGCACAGGGAAAACAAGGUGGUAUGUAUAAAGCCUCACUCAUGCCAAUAAAAAUGUACUACAGGAAUGAAUGUAUUUAUUAACU